Molecule: transfer RNA, 74 nt
Filed under: Phrynosoma platyrhinos (Desert horned lizard)
Lineage: Eukaryota; Metazoa; Chordata; Lepidosauria; Squamata; Phrynosomatidae
Description: tRNA-OTHER
Source: RNAcentral
ACCUAAGUAUAGCACAGUGGUUUGAGCAUUAGACUAUGACUCUGGAGACCAGGGUUUGAAUCCCCACUUGGCCA